GGAAGUGUCUACAGUCACUCUCUGGAGAAGGGAGGUUGUGUUUAGGGCUAUAGCGGACCGGCCUUAAGAAACUGUAAGAAUUCAGACAGACAAAGAAGGAGCUGAAGCACAGACAGCUGGCUUAGGCAAUUCACUGCAAGACUCAAAGAAGAAAAUAAAAAAAGACCAGACAUAACAUUUCUAUGAAGGGGAAAGCGGAACAUGCUCCUCAUUCCAGCUGAGGCUCCAUCUUGAGUUGCUGCACAGCCCUACCCCAGCAGAGACAUAGGCAAACUUCUUCCAUUUAAAGGUUGAGUUCCCCUGAUCAGACUACAUCUCCCAUGAGGCACCACAGUCUCUUGGCAAGGGGAAGAAGCAUGAGUUACAACACUAUGAGAAGGUUUAGAAGCAACGGCACCAGAUGGAGAAAUAGGUUAAUAGGAAAAUGAUGCACUUGAAGAAAAGAUGACUUCAAAUAUGGAUUUGCUCAAGAUG
Molecule: long non-coding RNA, 474 nt
Organism: Mauremys reevesii (Reeves's turtle)
Lineage: Eukaryota; Metazoa; Chordata; Testudines; Geoemydidae
Exons: 5
Source: RefSeq, a predicted model, not a curated record